RNAcentral lists this unclassified non-coding RNA (665 nucleotides) under Hevea brasiliensis (rubber tree). Lineage: Eukaryota; Viridiplantae; Streptophyta; Magnoliopsida; Malpighiales; Euphorbiaceae. The record is from RNAcentral.
GGGUGGUGUGGUGUGGUGGUGGUGGUAGAGCAUCAAAACUAAUGAAGAAAUUGACUUGUAAUACAUUAAUUUCAACAAAUUUACAAUGGUCAAUAUUUGUGUUCCCCAAACACUGAUUACACCACAUUAACAGCUCUACACUCCUCAUGGAGGGAAAUAAAGAAGAGAAAGACAACAAAGAUGCUUUGAAUUUGCUUCAGUUUCUGUACAAGCCCUGUUGAAUUUAAUUAUUAUCUUCAUCAUCCAGUUUCUUUCUUUUUUGGCCUCUUUAGUGAUCCCCAUUUCCUCCCCACCACCACCAAAAAAGAAAAUCUUCCACCCAUUAUGUCACAAAUAGAUGAUGAUACUGUCACAAAUAGAAAUCCUAAGCUUCAAUAAUUGAGUGUCCUCUUGACGAUGAUACUCCCACUUCCAAAAUGUAAAAUGCAGUUUUAGAAAGAUAGAUCGUAGUGUGCAAUUGGACACAGAGUAAAGAGUGUUCCUUGUAAUUUUCCCUGAAAUCAACUACAUGAUAGAAAGCAAUAUUGAUUAAAUGAUCUUGGUCUAAUUAAACAUAGUAAAUCAGCUGCAAAGUUAUUUAUAGAUACCAUUAUAUAUAUGCGCAUCCAUGUAUGCAUGUGUGUUUGGUUAAUAAAUUGGAAAAAUUAAGAAACAACUAAAGUUAA